GACGAACGCUGGCGGCGUGCUUAACACAUGCAAGUCGAACGGAAAGGCCUGCUUUCCCUUGUGGAUUGCGGGUACUCGAGUGGCGAACGGGUAGUAACACGUGAGUGAUCUGCCCCCAACUUGGGUAUAAGCCUGGGAAACUGGGUCUAAUUCCCGAUAGGACUGCAGGGUGGUGCCUGUGGUGGAAAACGAUUUUCUAGUGGUUGGGGAUGAGCUCGCGGCCUAUCAGCUUGUUGGUGGGGUAAUGGCCUACCAAGGCGGCGACGGGUAGCCGGCCUGAGAGGGUGGACGGCCACAUUGGGACUGAGAUACGGCCCAGACUCCUACGGGAGGCAGCAGUGGGGAAUAUUGCACAAUGGGCGGAAGCCUGAUGCAGCGACGCCGCGUGGGGGAUGACGGCCUUCGGGUUGUAAACUCCUUUCGACCGCGAGGAAGCCACCUGGUUGGAAGGGUGGUGACGGUAGUGGUAGAAGAAGCACCGGCUAACUACGUG
Molecule: ribosomal RNA, 493 nt
Filed under: uncultured bacterium
Lineage: Bacteria
Description: partial 16S ribosomal RNA
Rfam family: Bacterial small subunit ribosomal RNA
Source: RNAcentral